CAGAUCUAGGAUGUGUUAUUUCAGUGUUCCCUUUAUUUUUUUGAGCAGUGUAUAUAAACCUCUCGGCUAUGGAUUCUAGGGAUCAGUAAGUACAUGGGGAGUUCACAUGCUUUUCUGAUGGAACAAUAGCUGUGUACAUGAUCGCGCCGGAGGGGAGGGCUGCCGUCUUUACGGCUCUUAACCAACCAUGCUAUUCUGUUACAAUUUUUCGCAUUGUUCGCAACUUGUUUUGUACAUAAUGUUGCUGCUACUGUGUCUUAUGACCAAAAAGAGGUUCUGGACAUCAGAACUGCGAUUGUUCACCUCAAACUGGACGAAGAGUUCUUCUUUAAUGAGUCGGACGGGAGGGAUAUACUACUACAGACACCCGACCAGGCCCAGAUCCCCGUGAAUCGCUGGAGAAGAAAACUGAGAUUUUAUGGAAAAAGAUCAGGGUGCCUUGCGAGGAUCAAGCGACAAGUGGCUAAUCUGCCUUUGCCUUCCGUCCUGCUAGCUAAUGUUCAAUCGCUGGAGAAUAAAUCGGACGAGCUGAAAGCGUGUAUAUCCUACCAACAGGACAUUAAAAAAUUGUAUUUGUUAUGUUUCACCGUGUCGUGGCUAAACGAUGACAUUAAGAACAUACAGCUGGCGGGUUAUACACUCCAUCGGCAGGACUGAACAGCAGCCUCUGUGGAUGGGGCAUGUUGACGUGGAGGUGGUAUGACAGGCAAGGCAUCCUAAAGCCAGGAUAGGAAUGGGAGGAUGAGAGGAAGAAAGAAGAAAAUGAGGGUGGGAAGAUGAGUGAGAGAAAACAGAUAAAUAUAUCAAGAAAGUAAGGUAAGCAGAUGAGAGGAAAGCAGGAGAAAUAGGUCGGAGGACAACCAGGUGAAGGGAUGAGAGGAUGGAGGGAUAAGAGAACGAGAGGAAGAUAUGAUGAAAGAGAGAGAAAGAUAAAGCGAGAGACAGGAAGGGAGAGGAUGAUGCCAGGGUGGAGUUCAAUGGAAUCAGGGGGAGUGCCCUCUCCCCCCUCCCUCCUCCCUCCUCCCCCCGUCCCCCAUUCCUGUCAGGUUCCCACUCCGCGCUACCCUCUUCGCCCCUCUCGUGCCGUCUCUAGUUCUCUCCCUAAUGAGAGCUGGCGGGACAAUAGUGCCAUUGUUGGCAGUGUUUGGGAAGCCCGUGCUGAGAACAAUCACUUUUUACCCAAGCAGUGGCACAGCCCAAACCCUUUCCUUCAUUACCGCUGGUGCACUGAUUAAGUCUGCUCCCUCCUCAAGCCGCUUCAAUGGGCCGUUGAGCCAGUCACUAGGAGCCUCCUCUGCCUUCUCUCCUCCUCAACCUCCUCCUCCACCUCCUCUCCUCUUCUCUCCUCCUCCUACUCUCCUUCUCCUCCUCCUCCUCCACCACCUCCUGUCCUCUCUCUCCAUUCCCUCAUUCCCGCCUCUCUCCCGCUAUCAUCACUCUUUCAUCCAUCUCGGUUUGUUUCUCAUUCACUAGUUCUCAUCCUUGUCCCUAUGUCAACAGCAUUCCCUCUCUGAUUUGCACCUUUCAUUAACAGAGACACAAAGGUCCACGUGUAACCACACUGUCAAGAUUAUAGAGGAAGAAGACGAUAGAUUGAGAGAUAGAGGAAGAGAAAGGAGAGGGAGUGAGAGGAGAGGAAGAGAGAGAGAGAGGGAGAGGGAGAGGAAGAGAGAGGAGAGGGAGAGAGAGAGGGAGAGGGAGAGG
Molecule: long non-coding RNA, 1704 nt
Filed under: Salmo salar (Atlantic salmon)
Lineage: Eukaryota; Metazoa; Chordata; Actinopteri; Salmoniformes; Salmonidae
Description: lncRNA (ENSSSAG00000115982.1)
Source: RNAcentral